Molecule: ribosomal RNA, 662 nt
Filed under: uncultured bacterium
Lineage: Bacteria
Description: bacterial SSU rRNA
Rfam family: Bacterial small subunit ribosomal RNA
Source: RNAcentral
UUGGGCGUAAGCGAGCGCAGGCGGUUACUUAAGUCUGAUGUGAAAGCCUUCGGCUUAACCGAAGAAGUGCAUCGGAAACUGGGUGACUUGAGUGCAGAAGAGGACAGUGGAACUCCAUGUGUAGCGGUGGAAUGCGUAGAUAUAUGGAAGAACACCAGUGGCGAAGGCGGCUGUCUGGUCUGCAACUGACGCUGAGGCUCGAAAGCAUGGGUAGCGAACAGGAUUAGAUACCCUGGUAGUCCAUGCCGUAAACGAUGAGUGCUAGGUGUUGGAGGGUUUCCGCCCUUCAGUGCCGGAGCUAACGCAUUAAGCACUCCGCCUGGGGAGUACGACCGCAAGGUUGAAACUCAAAGGAAUUGACGGGGGCCCGCACAAGCGGUGGAGCAUGUGGUUUAAUUCGAAGCUACGCGAAGAACCUUACCAGGUCUUGACAUCUUGCGCCAACCCUAGAGAUAGGGCGUUUCCUUCGGGAACGCAAUGACAGGUGGUGCAUGGUCGUCGUCAGCUCGUGUCGUGAGAUGUUGGGUUAAGUCCCGCAACGAGCGCAACCCUUGUUACUAGUUGCCAGCAUUAAGUUGGGCACUCUAGUGAGACUGCCGGUGACAAACCGGAGGAAGGUGGGGACGACGUCAGAUCAUCAUGCCCCUUAUGACCUGGGCUAC